GACGAACGCUGGCGGCGCGCUUAACACAUGCAAGUCGAACGGAAAGGCCUGCUUUCCCUUGUGGAUUGCGGGUACUCGAGUGGCGAACGGGGGAGUAACACGUGAGUGAUCUGCCCCCAACUUGGGUAUAAGCCUGGGAAACUGGGUCUAAUUCCCGAUAGGACUGCAGGGUGGUGCCUGUGGUGGAAAACGAUUUUCUAGUGGUUGGGGAUGAGCUCGCGGCCUAUCAGCUUGUUGGUGGGGUAAUGGCCUACCAAGGCGGCGACGGGUAGCCGGCCUGAGAGGGUGGACGGCCACAUUGGGACUGGGAUACGGCCCAGACUCCUACGGGAGGCAGCAGUGGGGAAUAUUGCACAAUGGGCGGAAGCCUGAUGCAGCGACGCCGCGUGGGGGAUGACGGCCUUCGGGUUGUAAACUCCUUUCGACCGCGAGGAAGCUACCUGGUUGGAAGGGUGGUGACGGUAGUGGUAGAAGAAGCACCGGCUAACUACGUG
This 494-nucleotide ribosomal RNA is filed under the name uncultured bacterium. Its description in RNAcentral is "partial 16S ribosomal RNA". It matches the Rfam family "Bacterial small subunit ribosomal RNA", at positions 28 to 507 of the family's 1533-position model. The record is from RNAcentral.